RNAcentral lists this ribosomal RNA (497 nucleotides) under uncultured bacterium. RNAcentral describes it as "partial 16S ribosomal RNA". It matches the Rfam family "Bacterial small subunit ribosomal RNA", at positions 28 to 507 of the family's 1533-position model. The record is from RNAcentral.
GAUGAACGCUGGCGGCGUGCCUAAUACAUGCAAGUCGAGCGAACGGACGAGAAGCUUGCUUCUCUGAUGUUAGCGGCGGACGGGUGAGUAACACGUGGAUAACCUACCUAUAAGACUGGGAUAAAUUCGGGAAACCGGAGCUAAUACCGGAUAAUAUCUUGAACAGCAUGGUUCAAAAGUGAAAGACGGUCUUGCUGUCACUUAUAGAUGGAUCCGGGCUGCAUUAGUAAGUUGGUAAGGUAACGGGUUACCAAGGCAACAAUGCAUAGCCGACCUGAGAGAGUGAAAGACCACCCUGAAACUAAAACACGGUCCUAGCUCCUACGGGAGGCGGCAGUAUCGGAACUUCCGCAAUAGGCGAAAGCCUGACGGAGCAACGCCGCGUGAGUGAUGAAGAUCUUCGGAUCGUAAAACUCUGUUAUUAGGGAAGAACAUAUGUGUAAGUAACUGUGCACAUCGUGACGAUACCUAAUCAGAAAGCCACGGCUAACUACGUG